RNAcentral lists this ribosomal RNA (249 nucleotides) under uncultured Actinomycetales bacterium. RNAcentral describes it as "partial 16S ribosomal RNA". It matches the Rfam family "Bacterial small subunit ribosomal RNA", at positions 82 to 334 of the family's 1533-position model. Lineage: Bacteria; Bacillati; Actinomycetota; Actinomycetes; Actinomycetales. The record is from RNAcentral.
CGGAGGUACUCGAGUGGCGAACGGGUGAGUAACACGUGGGUGAUCUGCCCUGCACUCUGGGAUAAGCCUGGGAAACUGGGUCUAAUACCGGAUAGGACCAUGCUUUAGUGUGUGUGGUUGAAAGUUUUUUCGGUGUAGGAUGAGCCCGCGGCCUAUCAGCUUGUUGGUGGGGUAAUGGCCUACCAAGGCGGCGACGGGUAGCCGGACUGAGAGGUUGGUCGGCCACAUUGGGACUGAGAUACGGCCCAG